This 920-nucleotide ribosomal RNA is filed under the name uncultured archaeon. RNAcentral's name for it is "bacterial SSU rRNA". It matches the Rfam family "Archaeal small subunit ribosomal RNA", at positions 1 to 922 of the family's 1478-position model. The record is from RNAcentral.
UUCCGGUUGAUCCUGCCGGAGGCCAUUGCUAUCGGGGUCCGACUUAGCCAUGCUAGUUGUGCGGGUUCAGACCCGCAGCAGACAGCUCAGUAACACGUGGCCAAACUACCCUAUGGACGAGGACACCCUCGGGAAACUGAGGCUAAUCCACGAUACGGCUCCUACGCUGGAACGCGGGGAGCCGGAAAGGCUCCGGCGCCAUAGGAUGUGGCUGCGGCCGAUUAGGUAGACGGUGGGGUAACGGCCCACCGUGCCCAUAAUCGGUACGGGAUGUGAGAGCAAAUAGCCCGGAGAUGGUAUCUGAGACAAGAUACCAGGCCCUACGGGGCGCAGCAGGCGCGAAACCUUUACACUGCGCGCCAGUGCGAUAAGGGGACCCCGAGUGCGAGGGCAUACAGUCCUCGCUUUUGUACACCGUAAGGAGGUAUACGAAUAAGGGCUGGGCAAGACCGGUGCCAGCCGCCGCGGUAAUACCGGCAGCCCGAGUGAUGGCCGCUGUUAUUGGGCCUAAAGUGUCCGUAGCCGGCCGAACAAGUCUGUCGGGAAAUCCAUCUGCCUAACAGAUGGGCGUCCGGCAGAAACUGUUCGGCUUGGGGCCGGAAGAUCCGAGGGGUACGUCCGGGGUAGGAGUGAAAUCCCGUAAUCCUGGACGGACCGCCGGUGGCGAAAGCGCCUCGGAAGGACGGACCCGACGGUGAGGGACGAAAGCUGGGGUCUCGAACCGGAUUAGAUACCCGGGUAGUCCCAGCCGUAAACGAUGAUCGCUAGGUGUGGCACAGGCUACGAGCCUGUGCUGUGCCGUAGGGAAGCCGUGAAGCGAUCCGCCUGGGAAGUACGUCCGCAAGGAUGAAACUUAAAGGAAUUGGCGGGGGAGCACUACAACCGGAGGAGCCUGCGGUUCAAUUGGAUUCAACGCCGGA